RNAcentral lists this long non-coding RNA (593 nucleotides) under Phoenix dactylifera (date palm). RNAcentral describes it as "long non-coding RNA (PDAC_LNC003348)". Lineage: Eukaryota; Viridiplantae; Streptophyta; Magnoliopsida; Arecales; Arecaceae. The record is from RNAcentral.
UGGCAGCAUUGGAGUUGUGUUUAGUAUUAUUACUCUUUGGAUAUAUGUGUGUGUGUGUGUAUCUUGGUAGUAUUAGGGGCAUAUUGUUAAAUAUCAGUGCGUUUCUUCUUUCCAAGAACUUUGAGACGGUUCCUCCGGGCCAACAUUGCCGGGAAAAAGAACCUUCCACUCACGGGCUGCUCAUUGAUGUGUGACAAAAGCAGCCAGUCAAGAAGCACUCUUAGGCUUAAUUUGGUUUUUUUUCUUUUUUGAUGAUAACAUUAUCUCCUUACAAAUCUUACCAGGGCAUGAAAGCAUAAGAUUAUGCACAACAUCUACUGUGCUGGGCUCUAGACCAGUUACUAGCGGCAUGGGGUAGUGUGAGCCCGUGCCGAGCUUAUACAGACACAGUAGAAGAGACGGAAGAAAGGGAGAACAAGAAAGAUGAAUAGAGAGAGAGAGAAUGGGGAGGUCGAAAAAGGCCAACGGAGAACCAGCGAAGGGUUGGAGAGCCGCCACAACAGAGGAGGCAGAGGAGAGGCUCCGCCUCCAGUUCUCUGUUUCGUUAGUAGAGGACCAGAGACGAGCCCCUCUUCCAUAGCUCCCCAGCCUCC